RNAcentral lists this long non-coding RNA (1235 nucleotides) under Mytilus galloprovincialis (Mediterranean mussel). The record is from RNAcentral. Lineage: Eukaryota; Metazoa; Mollusca; Bivalvia; Mytilida; Mytilidae.
UUUGCCAAUAUAAAAUGUUGCUGAUGAAGUUUUUUUUAUUGUUUUAUACAAUAAACAAUGUAUAUUCACUUUUACUACCAACCAAUCUUUACCAUUCAGUGAUAACAAGCACUUUAUUUAACAUUUUAAUAUUUUAUGAUGUAUUUAAAAGAGUAGUUAUUGUUGCAAACUCCAUUAGAAAUUUGAAUUGAUAUCAGUUUUGGAAAAAGGGAAACGGGGAUGUGAAAAAAAAGGGGGGGUUUAAAUUUUUCUCAUUUCAGAUUUCAUAAAUAAAAAGAAAAUUUCUUCAAACAUUUUUUUGAGAGGAUUAAUAUUCAACAGCAUAGUGAAUUGCUCAAAGGCAAAAAAAACUUUUAAGUUCAUUAGACCACAUUCAUUCUGUGUCAGAAACCUAUGCUGUGUCAACUAUUUAAUUUUAGAUUUAAAAAGUUUGAAGAAGAAAUCUUUAAUUGAUUUGUAAAAUCUGGACAUUUGUUUUGUGUAAAAAAAAACCAUGUAAUGUAAAAAAUUUGAUCACAAUCCAAAUUCAGAGCUGUAUCACGCUUGAAUGUUUUGUCCAUACUUGCCCCAACUGUUCAGGGUUUCGACCUCUGCGGUCGUAUAAAGCUGCGCCCUGCGGAGCACCUGGUUACACCUGAUAGCCAAGUUGAAAAUUUUUCGUCACAUUUUUCUCAGGAACUACACUACCAGGAUUUCUGAAAUUUGGUUUCCGGCUUGAUAUAAGUCAGCUAUACCGUGUGAUGCGUUAUCAGAUGAUUCAUCACUCGACAACUUCCUGUUUACCGAACACUUGCAUAUUUUUUCACUAUUGAUAUUAUCCACUUGCGGCGGGGGUAUCAUCAGUGAGCAGUAGCUCGCUGUUUCACUUGUUGUUCCUUUUUCAACAUUGGCUAUAAUAAAUGCCAAACUAAUUUCUGAGUUUACAGUAUAUGUAAGGCGCACAGAGGGGAAGACAUUUUAACAUGGACAGCUACCCUUUAUAAAAUGGUAUAUUGAAACAUAAUUUAUAAAUCCUUUCUCUUUUAUUUUGUAUCUCCUUAAAUGUAUUGAUUUACUAUGCAUUGCUUUAUUUAUUAUGUAUGUUUACUGGUUUUUGUUUCUUUAAUGAAACCUUUACAAAUAGUAAUCUCUUUUGUAUUUAAUGUUAUUGAAUAUGUAAUAAAAUAUAUAUAACAUCAUUAGCUAAUUACUAUUUCUGAUAUUUUAAAAUGAUUAUUGAAGGAAGAUUAAUAUAA